This 72-nucleotide transfer RNA is filed under the name Candidatus Melainabacteria bacterium GWF2_32_7. RNAcentral's name for it is "tRNA-Trp". It matches the Rfam family "tRNA". Rfam says of the family: Transfer RNA (tRNA) molecules are approximately 80 nucleotides in length. Their secondary structure includes four short double-helical elements and three loops (D, anti-codon, and T loops). The record is from RNAcentral. RNAcentral also lists the same sequence under 2 other names. Lineage: Bacteria; Bacillati; Candidatus Melainabacteria.
GCGCCUUUAGUUCAGUGGUAGAACGUCGGUCUCCAAAACCGGAUGUCGUGGGUUCAAAUCCUACAAGGCGCG